UACAGAGGUCUCAAGCGUUGUCCGGAUUCAUUGGGCGUAAAGAGCGUGUAGGCGGCCAGGUAGGUCGGUUGUGAAAACUCGAGGCUCAACCUCGAGAUGUCGACCGAAACCAUCUGGCUAGAGUCCGGAAGAGGAGAAUGGAAUUCCCGGUGUAGCGGUGAAAUGCGCAGAUAUCGGGAAGAACACCCGUGGCGAAGGCGGUUCUCUGGGACGGUACUGACGCUGAGACGCGAAAGCGUGGGGAGCGAACAGG
This 253-nucleotide ribosomal RNA is filed under the name uncultured bacterium. RNAcentral describes it as "partial 16S ribosomal RNA". It matches the Rfam family "Bacterial small subunit ribosomal RNA", at positions 524 to 776 of the family's 1533-position model. The record is from RNAcentral.